Gastrolobium bilobum is the source of this 555-nucleotide long non-coding RNA. RefSeq lists it as uncharacterized. The transcript is spliced from 3 exons. Lineage: Eukaryota; Viridiplantae; Streptophyta; Magnoliopsida; Fabales; Fabaceae. The record is from RefSeq and is a predicted model, not a curated record.
AAGGGGGUUUGGCUUUUAAAUUUUUUUUUCUUUGAUUUCUCUCUACACAAGCAUCCAAAUGAAAAAGUCCAUUACAUGAAAUCAAUAGGAAAUCAUCCAAUGAAUCCGUUCCACCCCUUAUUUUAGGCUGAAAUUGCUUGUGUGAAGAGUUCUUCCCUUUUCCCAAUUUGAAUCACUAUUCAUCGAAGAGAGAAAUUGUGAUUUUUCAUGGAGCUUUGCUUGAAGGUUGUUCUCUAGGCUAGGUAUAAGGGAUUAGAGGUGUGCCUAGGGACUGAGCGUGUUCGGAUUUCUUUGGAGCUAAAUAGGUAACUUGUGUUACAAGUGAGCAAAUUGGUAAAGUUUCAAAAGGAACACAGUUAAUUGAAGAGCCCUCAUGGGACAAGGACACUACCUGUGGCUAGAGGUACUAGUGUGAGGAUAUGGAGUUCUGGGUGGCCGGACGCUACUAUUUAUUAUAGAUGUUAUUUUUGGAGAAUAUGUACUAUUGUAUAGUGUUCUAUUCAUUUUGAGAUCAUGAUGUUUGAUCCAUUAUACAAUAUAUGGUCCGUAUAUGUU